This 253-nucleotide ribosomal RNA is filed under the name uncultured bacterium. RNAcentral describes it as "partial 16S ribosomal RNA". It matches the Rfam family "Bacterial small subunit ribosomal RNA", at positions 524 to 776 of the family's 1533-position model. The record is from RNAcentral.
UACGUAGGGUGCGAGCGUUGUCCGGAAUUACUGGGCGUAAAGAGCUCGUAGGUGGUUUGUCGCGUUGUCCGUGAAAACUCACAACUCAAUUGUGGGCGUGCGGGCGAUACGGGCAGACUGGAGUACUGCAGGGGAGACUGGAAUUCCUGGUGUAGCGGUGGAAUGCGCAGAUAUCAGGAGGAACACCGAUGGCGAAGGCAGGUCUCUGGGCCACUACUGACGCUGAGGAGCGAAAGCGUGGGGAGCGAACAGG